AGAGGAGGCCGGGGCGCGCUCGAGCCACAUCGGAGGCCCCACUCGAGGCCUAACACCGGCGCCCUCCGAGCGCUUCUGUGCAGCCAGGCCCUGGGAAGUGUAACAACCCUGCUCCUCUCCUAAAUGCACACAGUGCGUCUUUUGCAAAUGCAAGCCCUUGCUCUGGAACCCCUUCCUACAGCGACCUCUGCACAAAAGGAAAGGCGGUCAAGUGAGGUUUUCCAACGACCAGACCAUCGAGCUGGAGAAGAAGUUCGAGACUCAGAAAUACCUCUCCCCACCUGAGAGAAAGCGUCUGGCCAAGAUGUUGCAGCUCAGCGAGAGACA
This 327-nucleotide long non-coding RNA is filed under the name Rattus norvegicus (Norway rat). RNAcentral describes it as "long non-coding RNA NONRATT001705". Lineage: Eukaryota; Metazoa; Chordata; Mammalia; Rodentia; Muridae. The record is from RNAcentral.